AAAAACAUGGCCUUUUGAUUAUAAUUUUAGGUCUCGCCUGCCCAAUGAUUUUUAUUUAAUGGCCGCAGUAUCCUGACUGUGCAAAGGUAGCAAAAUCAAUAGUUUUUUAAUUGAAAGCUGGAAUGAAAGGUUGGAUGAGAAAGUAACUGUCUCUGUAAAAAUUUAUUAUAACUUUAUUUUUAAGUUAAAAAGCUUAAAUAAAAAUAGAAGACGAGAAGACCCUAUAGAGUUUUAUAUUAAGAUAUAUCUGGAAUUUUAGUAUUAAUUUUUCUUUUUAUGUUUAUAUAUUUGGUUGGGGUGAUUGGAAAACUAAAUGAACUUUUCUUGAUUAGUACAUUUAUUUAUGAUUGAAUGAUCCUUUAAUUAAGAUUACAAGAUAAAAUUACCUUAGGGAUAACAGCGUAAUUUUUUUUGAGAGUCCUUAUCGAAAGAAGAGAUUGCGACCUCGAUGUUGGAUUAAAGUUGAUUUAUGGUGUAGGAGCUAUGAUAUUAGGUCUGUUCGACCUUUAAAACUUUACUUGAUCUGAGUU
RNAcentral lists this ribosomal RNA (530 nucleotides) under Zacladus geranii. Its description in RNAcentral is "partial 16S ribosomal RNA". It matches the Rfam family "Bacterial large subunit ribosomal RNA", at positions 1809 to 2611 of the family's 2925-position model. The record is from RNAcentral. Lineage: Eukaryota; Metazoa; Arthropoda; Insecta; Coleoptera; Curculionidae.